UGAUAAACUCAGCUUCCAAAUCAGACUUCUCAAGUGUAAAAGGAACAUUCAUCAAUGACCUUACAGAUUUUUCAACUGGGCACCUGUAGAACCCAUUGCUCUCAUCAAUAGCUUUGUAUAUCAAUUCUGCUUUCUUCUUGUUCUUCUUUUGGACCUCCGUUAAUCCACCCUGUGCCAAAAGAUCCUCAAAGACCAAACCACACAUGUAAAUGCCAAAACAUGGAGGGGUGUUGUAGAGUGAAUUGUUCUCUGCCUGGAUCUUGUAGUCCAACAACAACGGGAGUGUUCCCCGGGCCUUUCCAAACCGGGUUUUUUUUAUUUUCCAAAAU
This 329-nucleotide unclassified non-coding RNA is filed under the name Hevea brasiliensis (rubber tree). The record is from RNAcentral. Lineage: Eukaryota; Viridiplantae; Streptophyta; Magnoliopsida; Malpighiales; Euphorbiaceae.